UCCUCAUUAGUAUAGUGGUGAGUACCCCACCUGCCAAGAGGGAGACCUGGGUUCCAUUCCCUGAUGGGGAA
Molecule: transfer RNA, 71 nt
Filed under: Loxodonta africana (African savanna elephant)
Lineage: Eukaryota; Metazoa; Chordata; Mammalia; Proboscidea; Elephantidae
Rfam family: tRNA
About the family: Transfer RNA (tRNA) molecules are approximately 80 nucleotides in length. Their secondary structure includes four short double-helical elements and three loops (D, anti-codon, and T loops). Further hydrogen bonds mediate the characteristic L-shaped molecular structure. tRNAs have two regions of fundamental functional importance: the anti-codon, which is responsible for specific mRNA codon recognition, and the 3' end, to which the tRNAs corresponding amino acid is attached (by aminoacyl-tRNA synthetases). tRNAs cope with the degeneracy of the genetic code in two manners: having more than one tRNA (with a specific anti-codon) for a particular amino acid; and 'wobble' base-pairing, i.e. permitting non-standard base-pairing at the 3rd anti-codon position.
Source: Rfam by way of RNAcentral